RNAcentral lists this ribosomal RNA (264 nucleotides) under uncultured archaeon. RNAcentral's name for it is "partial 16S ribosomal RNA". It matches the Rfam family "Archaeal small subunit ribosomal RNA", at positions 718 to 982 of the family's 1478-position model. The record is from RNAcentral.
CACGACUACAUUAGAUACCCGGGUAGUCCCAGCCGUAAACUAUGCUCGCUAGGUGUCAGGCAUGGCGCGACCGUGUCUGGUGCCGCAGGGAAGCCGUGAAGCGAGCCACCUGGGAAGUACGGCCGCAAGGCUGAAACUUAAAGGAAUUGGCGGGGGAGCACAACAACGGGUGGAGCCUGCGGUUUAAUUGGACUCAACGCCGGACAACUCACCGGGGACGACAGCAAUAUGUAGGCCAGGCUGAAGACCUUGCCUGAAUCGCUG